RNAcentral lists this ribosomal RNA (253 nucleotides) under uncultured bacterium. Its description in RNAcentral is "partial 16S ribosomal RNA". It matches the Rfam family "Bacterial small subunit ribosomal RNA", at positions 524 to 776 of the family's 1533-position model. The record is from RNAcentral.
UACGUAGGGUGCGAGCGUUAAUCGGAAUUACUGGGCGUAAAGCGUGCGCAGGCGGUUUUGUAAGCCAGAUGUGAAAGCCCCGGGCUUAACCUGGGAAUGGCAUUUGGGACUGCAAGGCUUGAGUGCGGCAGAGGAGACUGGAAUUCCUGGUGUAGCAGUGAAAUGCGUAGAUAUCAGGAGGAAUACCGAUGGCGAAGGCAGGUCUCUGGGUCGUACCUGACGCUGAGGCGCGAAAGCGUGGGGAGCGAACGGG